GUUGGCAUUCCAGGCAAAGGAAGAGCCUGAAUGUGUCCUGAGUUCUUGCUUAGCAAAAUUGGAUCACCCUGCACUUUGGGAGGCCGAAGCAGGUGGAUCACCUGAGGUCAGGAGUUUGAGACUAGCCUGGCCAACAUGACUGAUGAUAGCAACUGGCUCUGAAUUGCUGCUUCUGCUCAACUUCCUGGAUGCUAGCAGUACCUAGGGAUGUAAAGACCUUUCAACUACAGCUCAUAGCAGGCCCUUGUGUCUGAGAAUGACUGCUUCUGUGAUCUGAUGAGCACAUGUGGUGUGCAUCCAGUGGCUCUGCUCUUAAACUAGGCCCAUGACUACCAACAGUCAUUCUUCCUGGGCUGCUGAGACCAGAAAAUAAAAGUGCCUUCCAAAUGGUUCACAGAUGCAGAGGGAUUUUGGCUCAGGAUGAAUUGCACCUUCAGUCUCACCCAAACCUGAUUUAGAUAAUAUUUCAAUGAGACUUUGGACUUUAGACUUUACAGUUGAUGCUGCAACCAGUUAAGGCUUUUGGGAUUGUCGGAAUGGAAUGAAUGUAUUUUGCAUGUGAGAAGAACAUGAAGUGUGGGGGGCCAUGGGCAGAAUAUUAUGGACUGCAUGAUUUCGUCUCCCUAGAAUACAUAUGUUGAAAUUCUAAUCCCCAAUAUGAUGGUAUUAUGUGGUGGGAACUUUGGGAGGUAAUUAGGUUAUGAGGGUGGAGACCUCAUGUAAAGGAUUAGUGCCCUUAUAAGAAGAAACACAAGAGUUUGCUUCCUGUCUCUGCUCUCCACUAUGUGAAGAUAGAACAAGAAGAUGGCCAUCUGCAAACCAGGAAGACAGUCCUCAUCAGACACUGGAUCUGCCAG
Molecule: non-coding RNA, 857 nt
Filed under: Pongo abelii (Sumatran orangutan)
Lineage: Eukaryota; Metazoa; Chordata; Mammalia; Primates; Hominidae
Source: RNAcentral